Molecule: long non-coding RNA, 2079 nt
Organism: Zeugodacus cucurbitae (melon fly)
Lineage: Eukaryota; Metazoa; Arthropoda; Insecta; Diptera; Tephritidae
Exons: 2
Source: RefSeq, a predicted model, not a curated record
GAAAACCUUUGUUUGUUUACAUUAAUUAUCAUCUUUUAACACACCACCGAGGCGUACUUGGAUUGUGUGCUACGCUUUUUUUGCUAUAAUUGUGCUCUGCGUUUUUCCAAGAUGGCGGCUAUCUUACCACCGAGAAUUCCCCACGAAUAAGGUUUUCUACUGUAUGUACUGUGGUUUCUAAAACCGUAUUGUAGUGCGGAACACUAGGGAUGGAAAGAGCGCGAGCGGAAUCGAUUUUUGACUUUGGAAUUGACUUCUAGUUUUUCGAUUCUGGAAGUCAAUUAAUCAACCCCGAUAGUCGACUUUUGUGACUUAAGUUGACUUUUUAUAAAUUAAGCAACUCGUACACGAAAUUCAUUAGAUAUAUCAAUAUUUUUUUAGUUUUUAACAUAUUAUAAAAAGUAUUUUAGGAUUUCAUUGCAUACAUUUUGGUAUUGGAUAAUAAAAUUGCUUUUUUUUUAAUUAAAAAACAAAAAAUUUAAAAAUAAAUAACUACGAAAACCACAUUUCUUCGCCGAUUGAUCUUAAAAAUAUUAGCUCAUUAAUGUGCUGAGGUGAUAAGCGACUCCUCAACUGAUUUGCGAUAAGUCCUGCAUGUGAAAAUAAUCGCUCACAGGGUACAGACGUUGCAACUAUUGGCAAGUAGUUUUUAGCUACUUUCCAUAGAUACGGAUAUUCAUAUUUCAUACUUUCCCACACAGUGAACGGAUUAGGAUUUUGUUUCCGAUUGACAGCCGGGCGUGUCAAAUAUUGUCGUAAUUGUAUUGGUAAUCCUCCAGCCUCAUCAGAAUCUGCAAGAUUGGAACUACAACUCACAGUGUUAUCAAAAUAAGACCAUAAAUCAUCAUUGUCAUCGUUCGUUUUCUGAGAUUCCGGACCUUGAAUAGCUAAUAUCUCAUCUUGAGGGUUAAUAUUUGCCACCAUUGCUGCCAAUGCUAAUUUUCGUUCUGUCUUGACAAGAUCAGCUACACAAAAAAUUAUAUUAAGUUUAAACUAAACCAUAGAAAUAAUCAAAUAAUGUUUGCAUAAUCAACCUACCGACAUUAGUUACCGCUCGUGCAGAAUCCCGAAUUCUUUGAAAACCAAACUUUUUAUAACGAGGAUCAACCAAUGUUGCACAAGCGUACAGUUUUACGGAUUCAAUAUUGCCGUAUUUUGUUUCGAUGUCUUGAACCAUUCUCUUUUUCAAAUGUCGCCCAAUUAAAGUUUCUGGCGUUAACUCUUCAAUCUUCUGUAAAAUAUAAAAUCAAUUCAUUCAAUAAAAAUUCAAAACAAGAUAAUAUUGCAAUAGCUUUGCUAGUUUAAUAAUGGGAACUUACUUUUCUAAGACUUGAAAUCAAAGGAAUGCACUUGCUCAAUGUUACACAUUUCUCAAAACAAACUUCUUGAGUUAUUUGCAAGAGAGGUUUUAAGAUGUCACGAACUUCUACUAACGCAUCGAUUUCCUCACCUGUGAUCAUGUUAGGUGGCUUAGCUUUCGAAGAUUUGUCCAUCUUCACUUGUAAAAGCACUUUACUGACAUGAUCAGCAAGCACAAUGAAACGGUCAACCAUUUCAAAACAGGAUUCCAUCUCGUUCGCACUUCCUGAAUUAAUUUCAGACGAGAAUUUUCAGGCUUGUCCUUCUGUAAUUUCAGCAGCUCUGUAGUCGCUCUUUCACUUUGUCGAAAGAAUGUGACAAUUUGUUUAACUUUUGACAAUAGCUCACGCAAUGACGAUUGCUCAGUAUGAUCUGUAAUUAAGUCUUCAAGAUUGUCAAUAGCAUCAUUUUCAUCAGCGGGUAAGUCGGAAACUUGAUUUCGAGAUUCAGAUGCAGGUGGAGUAAUAUUAACUUCGAUAAGGCGCUGACCAAUAUUAUUUAUUACAUGUCCAAAACAUGAAAUGUGUUUCCCAUCGCCGAACUCACUUUUAAUAGCUCCUUUGAUGUUUGCGCCCCCGUCUGAAACGAAUGCUGCUAUUUUACUAUCAUCAAGACCCCAGUCAUUGCAUAUAUUUCUUAAUUUCAAGCUCAAAUUUUCUAUUGUUUUCCUCUCUUCCAUGAGAUAAGCGCCCAGCUCAACAGUCUUCAUCUCAGUUUCUG